RNAcentral lists this non-coding RNA (27 nucleotides) under Mus musculus (house mouse). The record is from RNAcentral. Lineage: Eukaryota; Metazoa; Chordata; Mammalia; Rodentia; Muridae.
UGGAAAGGCUGCAUCAUGGAGAGUCCA